Molecule: long non-coding RNA, 675 nt
Filed under: Anas platyrhynchos platyrhynchos (common mallard)
Lineage: Eukaryota; Metazoa; Chordata; Aves; Anseriformes; Anatidae
Description: lncRNA (ENSAPLG00000020236.1)
Source: RNAcentral
CCAUCAAAAUUUUAAUUAAAAAAAAAUACUAAGUAGUUUUAAUUGGUUGAUUGUGGGUUUUUGUUUGUUUUUUGGGGGGGGAGGGGGGAGGAAGCAAAAAGUAGAUAUAUACAAUAUUAAUCUACUCUUAAGAUUUAGUUUUUAAACUGGCACUCAGGGAACUAAAAUAGUACUCAGGGAGUUCAACAUAAGGGAUUAAUGGUUUACCUUUACCUUGCCGGUUUCUUAAGCAGUUUUUACCUCAAAUCUCCUGUUAUAAUUAGUAUUUGGGGGUUUUGGAGGGGAGGGUGAAAGGGAGCAGAUCCUAAGCUAGUUUAAAAUGUCAUAUGUUGUUUGAACAGAAAUGGUGUACAAGAUAAAAAACAUGCUGCAAGAAAUUGUCAAGCCAGCAAUCUGGCUGAAAAUGGAUUAUAAGGAUGCCUCCCCCAUUUAUUGGGAUCAUUAUGGAUUCUGAUGCUGUCAUGUAAGUCACUUGCAACCCUUCCCAUAACUCUCCCGACGUACUCUCUCUGUUCUGCCACUCAACUCUGCUAAUGAAAGCACUGAUUUAAAAAUCACACACGGGGCAAAGACAUCCCUGGCAAUUCCUUCUGGGUUUGACAGUGAAGCCCUUGAUUACUUUUGAGAAAGGUUUUUCAAUCAGUUGUUGCUGACUUUGCUAUGAUUGUGUUGAGA